GAUGAACGCUGGCGGCGCGCCUAAUACAUGCAAGUCGAGCGAACGGACGAGAAGCUUGCUUCUCUGAUGUUAGCGGCGGACGGGUGAGUAACACGUGGAUAACCUACCUAUAAGACUGGGAUAACUUCGGGAAACCGGAGCUAAUACCGGAUGAUAUUUUGAACCGCAUGGUUCAAAAGUGAAAGACGGUCUUGCUGUCACUUAUAGAUGGAUCCGCGCUGCAUUAGCUAGUUGGUAAGGUAACGGCUUACCAAGGCAACGAUGCAUAGCCGACCUGAGAGGGUGAUCGGCCACACUGGAACUGAGACACGGUCCAGACUCCUACGGGAGGCAGCAGUAGGGAAUCUUCCGCAAUGGGCGAAAGCCUGACGGAGCAACGCCGCGUGAGUGAUGAAGGUCUUCGGAUCGUAAAACUCUGUUAUUAGGGAAGAACAUAUGUGUAAGUAACUGUGCACAUCUUGACGGUACCUAAUCAGAAAGCCACGGCUAACUACGUG
This 497-nucleotide ribosomal RNA is filed under the name uncultured bacterium. RNAcentral describes it as "partial 16S ribosomal RNA". It matches the Rfam family "Bacterial small subunit ribosomal RNA", at positions 28 to 507 of the family's 1533-position model. The record is from RNAcentral.